RNAcentral lists this ribosomal RNA (1302 nucleotides) under Triticum aestivum (bread wheat). RNAcentral's name for it is "partial small subunit ribosomal RNA". The record is from RNAcentral. Lineage: Eukaryota; Viridiplantae; Streptophyta; Magnoliopsida; Poales; Poaceae.
AUGUGGAGGCUCAAGGUGUCGGAGGGCGGCGGGCCGUGGUUGCGGUCGGUGAACAACUUCCUUGGCAGGGCAGUGUGGGAGUUCGACCCCGACCACGGCACGCCCGAGGAGCGCGCCGAGGUUGACACACUGCGCCGGGACUUCACCCGCAGCCGCUUCCACAAGAGGGAGUCACAGGAUCUUCUUAUGCGCAUGCAGGUACUUAUAUACUGCGUGUCACGUCUAUGUAAACUUGUUGUAUAUGCAAAUCUGGGUUUUAAACUCCAGCAUCUACCGUACAAUUCUCAAAUUAUCUAUUGCAUGCAGUAUGCGAAAGAAAAGCUUCUUCAGGUUCAGGUGGAUCUUCCGGCGAUCAAGCUUGUAGAUAUUGCACAAGUCACAGAAGAGACUGUAUUAACAUCAUUGAGGCGAGCCCUUAGUCAACACUCUGCUCUGCAAGCACACGAUGGGCAUUGGCCUGGCGAUUACAGUGGAAUUAUGUUCAUUAUGCCCAUCUUGAUAUUUGCUCUACAUGUUACUGGAACACUCAAUACCGUCCUUUCAAGAGAACAUCGUCGUGAGAUUUGUCGCUAUAUUUACAACCAUCAGAAUGAAGAUGGUGGUUGGGGCACACAAGUGUUGGGCCCGAGCACCAUGUUUGGAUCAUGCUUAAACUAUGUUACCUUGAGGCUUCUUGAUGAGGUGGACAAUGAAGCCUUGAUCAAGGGGCGUGCUUGGAUUCUAUUGCAUGGAAGUGCAGCUGCAAUACCACAAUGGGGAAAGAUAUGGCUCUCGGUGGUUGGUUUGUAUGAAUGGUUUGGAAAUAAUUCGAUCAUUCCUGAACUAUGGCUUGUCCCACAUUUUCUUCCAAUUCAUCCAGGACGAUUCUGGUGCUUUUGCCAAUUGAUUUAUAUGCCAAUGUCUUAUCUCUAUGGUAAAAAGUUUGUUGGCCCACUUAUACCAACAAUAUUGGCAAUAAGGGAGGAGCUCUAUAGCAUACCAUACGGUGAGGUCGAUUGGAAUAAAGCACGUGACACUUGUGCCAAGGAAGACCUUCGCUAUCCACGAUCAUUGCUGCAAGAUGUUAUUUGGACAUGUCUUACGAAAUUUGUGGAACCAGUGUUGAAUUGUUGGCCAGUUAAUAAGCUAAGAGAUAAAGCAUUGAAAAACCUCAUGAAACAUAUCCAUUAUGAAGAUGAAAGUACUAAAUAUAUUGGUAUAUGUCCGAUUAACAAGGCACUAAAUAUGAUUUGUUGUUGGAUCGAUGAUCCAAAUUCAGAUGCAUUGAAGUUGCAUAUUCCAAGGAUCUAUGAUUAUCUAUGA